GUCUCUGUCUCAACCCCUCAAAGUCUCGUCUUGUCUCGGUCUCAACCCCUCAAAGUCUCGGUCUUGUCUCGGUCUCAACCCCUCAAAGUCUCGGUCUUGUCUCUGUCUCAACCCCUCAAAGUCUCG
This is a long non-coding RNA of Sander lucioperca (pikeperch), 126 nucleotides long. RefSeq lists it as uncharacterized. NCBI's taxonomy places the organism in Eukaryota, Metazoa, Chordata, Actinopteri, Perciformes, Percidae. The transcript has 3 exons. The record is from RefSeq and is a predicted model, not a curated record.